RNA transcript from Ipomoea nil (Japanese morning glory), 2051 nucleotides. It is a transcript of the gene named probable sulfate transporter 3.5, with no coding region annotated. The transcript has 13 exons. NCBI's taxonomy places the organism in Eukaryota, Viridiplantae, Streptophyta, Magnoliopsida, Solanales, Convolvulaceae. The record is from RefSeq and is a predicted model, not a curated record.
AUCUACUCACACUUCAUCUCUUCUUCUGGACAAGCUAGAUUUAAGCAGAUAUGACGAAUUCUUUCCAGGCACGGCAGAAGGUGAGGUUCGGCGAGCCACGGAGCUUUCCGGCGGUGCUCCGGGCAAGCCUGAAGGAGGUGCUUUUCCCCGACGAUCCCUUCGGCGAAUUCAAGAACGAGCCAUUUUCACGCAGGGUGAUAAAGGGGUUUCAGUACUUCGUCCCCAUUUUGGAUUGGCUUCCCCACUACAACCUUAAUCUCUUCAUGUACGAUGUUCUCGCCGGAAUCACCAUCGCCAGCCUCGCCAUCCCUCAGGGAAUCAGCUACGCUAAGCUCGCCAACAUUCCUCCCAUCAUCGGACUCUAUUCGAGUUUUGUGCCGCCAUUGAUUUACGCAGUGUUUGGAAGUUCAAAGCAUCUUGCGGUGGGUACGGUGGCGGCUUCGUCGUUGCUCAUAGCUGCCACCAUUGAAGAAGUAGUGAAACCACAAGACAACUUGGAACUUUAUGUGGAUUUGGUGUUCACAGCCACCCUUGUCUCUGGUUUGAUGCAAACCGUCAUGGGUUUGUUGAGGUUAGGAAUAUUGGUGGAUUUUCUAUCGCAUUCAACAAUCACUGGUUUCAUGGGAGGGACAGCAGUACUCAUAUGUUUGCAGCAGCUGAAAGGAAUCCUUGGCUUGAAGCAUUUCACACACAAAACUGAUUUGAUUUCUGUUAUACGCUCAAUUUUUGCCAAUAAAAAUGAGUGUAAUUGGAGGGCCAUUGUGAUUGGUGUUGUCUUCCUUGCUUUCCUACAGUCCACUAGAUAUGUAAAAAAGAAGAUUCCAAGAUUGUUUUGGGUUUCAGCCAUAGCUCCUAUGGUGUGUGUCAUUGUUGGCUGCCUCUUUGCUUACUUUGCUCAUGCAGAUAAACUUGGCAUCCAAACUGUGGGAGAUCUAAAGAAAGGAAUAAACCCUCUCUCCAUCCAAAGAUUGAACUUUGAUCCCAAAUACAUUUACGCACCAAUUAAAGCUGGAACCAUCACAGCCAUGAUUGCUCUAGCUGAAGGAAUUGCAAUUGGGAGGAGUUUUGCAGUGAUGCAAAAUGAACAAAUUGAUGGCAAUAAGGAGAUGAUUGCCUUUGGACUCAUGAACAUCAUUGGCUCCUUCACAUCUUGCUACUUAACCACAGGUCCGUUCUCGAAAACUGCGGUGAACUACAACGCGGGAUGCAGGACCGCCAUGUCCAACGUUGUAAUGUCGAUCUGCAUGUGUCUAACGCUCCUGUUCUUGGCCCCGAUCUUUAGCUACACACCCCUGGUGGCGCUGUCCGCCAUUAUUGCAUCAGCCAUGCUGGGCCUAAUUAAGUACAAAAAGUUCUACCAUCUCUACCAGACUGACAAGUUUGAUUUCUUGAUUUGCAUGGUGGGGGUGUUUGGUGUCAUCUUCAUUAGCAUGACCUAUGGGCUUGUGUUAUCGAUAUCUCUGGCUUUAGUGAGGGCCCUUUUGCAUGUAGCUAGGCCUCCUUCAUGCAAGCUUGGGAGCAUGGUAGAGAGUGGAAUAUAUUGUGACAUUGAACAGUAUCCAGGUGCAACUGGAUUUCCAGGGAUUUUGAUCUUGCAGCUUGGUUCUCCAAUAUACUUUGCAAAUGCCAAUUACAUUAGGGAAAGAAUUUUAAGGUGGAUCAGAGAUGAACAAAAAAUUUCGAAUUCUAAAGGGGCAGAGGUUGAAUUCUUACUGCUGGACUUUGGAGCUAUUAACUCAAUUGAUGUAACGGGUAUUGAAACACUAGUUGAAAUUAGAAAGAGUUUACUAGCAAAAGAGAUUAAGAUGAUUUUGAUAAAUCCGAGAUUGGGAGUGAUGGAGAAGCUGAUGUUAUCAAAGUUCAUAGAAAUUAUUGGAAAGGAAUCAGUUUUCCUGUCAAUUGAUGAUGCAAUUGAGUUUUGCAAAUUUUCUCUCAAAUCUAUGUCGUCCGUUUAAUUUAAUUUUAAACCCAAUCUCGAUCUUGUAAUCCACACCCUCACUUCGUCCAUAUAUAUAUAUUGUUGUUUUCAAAUUUCACCCUUUUAAUCAACA